This 549-nucleotide ribosomal RNA is filed under the name uncultured bacterium. Its description in RNAcentral is "bacterial SSU rRNA". It matches the Rfam family "Bacterial small subunit ribosomal RNA", at positions 355 to 895 of the family's 1533-position model. The record is from RNAcentral.
UAGGGAAUCUUCGGCAAUGGACGGAAGUCUGACCGAGCAACGCCGCGUGAGUGAAGAAGGUUUUCGGAUCGUAAAGCUCUGUUGUAAGAGAAGAACGAGUGUGAGAGUGGAAAGUUCACACUGUGACGGUAUCUUACCGGAAAGGGACGGCUAACUACGUGCCAGCAGCCGCGGUAAUACGUAGGUCCCGAGCGUUAUCCGGAUUUAUUGGGCGUAAAGCGAGCGCAGGCGGUUAGAUAAGUCUGAAGUUAAAGGCUGUGGCUUAACCAUAGUACGCUUUGGAAACUGUUUAACUUGAGUGCAAGAGGGGAGAGUGGAAUUCCAUGUGUAGCGGUGAAAUGCGUAGAUAUAUGGAGGAACACCGGUGGCGAAAGCGGCUCUCUGGCUUGUAACUGACGCUGAGGCUCGAAAGCGUGGGGAGCAAACAGGAUUAGAUACCCUGGUAGUCCACGCCGUAAACGAUGAGUGCUAGGUGUUAGACCCUUUCCGGGGUUUAGUGCCGCAGCUAACGCAUUAAGCACUCCGCCUGGGGAGUACGACCGCAAGGUU